GGACACGAGGGCGAUCUGGCUGCGACAUCUGACACCUCAUUGAUCACCAGGGUUGAUUCAGCUCAUCUGGCUGGCUAGGAGGGUGUCCCCUUCCUCCCUCACCACUCCAUGUGUGUUCCUCCUGAAGCUGCGCACUGGGUCUAAAAGGACGGCCUUCCCCGAAUAGAGACCAACCAGCCUUGGGUCAAGGGUAUAGAGUGGCUGUGGUCCCCUGCAAGAACUUCCAGACAAGCUCUCAUUCAUGCAAUGACAAUAUUCUAUAUAGAAAAAAGUAAAUAGAGGCGACUUGGUUCAAUUAUUUCAUUUUUAAAUGGGGAAAUAGCUUGGAG
Unclassified non-coding RNA from Erinaceus europaeus (western European hedgehog), 329 nucleotides. Its record names the gene 7SK. It matches the Rfam family "7SK RNA". Rfam says of the family: 7SK was discovered as an abundant small nuclear RNA in the mid-70s but a possible function has only recently been suggested. Two independent studies have found that 7SK RNA binds the CDK9/cyclin T complex (known as elongation factor P-TEFb). P-TEFb activates transcription by phosphorylating the C-terminal domain of RNA polymerase II. The record is from Ensembl. Lineage: Eukaryota; Metazoa; Chordata; Mammalia; Eulipotyphla; Erinaceidae.